Molecule: ribosomal RNA, 490 nt
Filed under: uncultured bacterium
Lineage: Bacteria
Description: partial 16S ribosomal RNA
Rfam family: Bacterial small subunit ribosomal RNA
Source: RNAcentral
AUUGAACGCUGGCGGCAGGCCUAACACAUGCAAGUCGAACGGUAACAGGAAGCAGCUUGCUGCUUUGCUGACGAGUGGCGGACGGGUGAGUAAUGUCUGGGAAACUGCCCGCUGGAGGGGGAUAACUACUGGAAACGGUAGCUAAUACCGCAUAACGUCGCAAGACCAAAGAGGGGGACCUUAGGGCCUCUUGCCAUCGGAUGUGCCCAGAUGGGAUUAGCUAGUAGGUGGGGUAACGGCUCACCUAGGCGACGAUCCCUAGCUGGUCUGAGAGGAUGACCAGCCACACGGGAACUUAGACACGGUCCAGACUCCUACGGGAGGCAGCAGUGGGGAAUAUUGCACAAUGGGCGCAAGCCUGAUGCAGCCAUGCCGCGUGUAUGAAGAAGGCCUUCGGGUUGUAAAGUACUUUCAGCGGGGAGGAAGGGAGUAAAGUUAAUACCUUUGCUCAUUGACGUUACCCGCAGAAGAAGCACCGGCUAACUCCGUG